This is a long non-coding RNA of Dermacentor silvarum, 1821 nucleotides long. RefSeq lists it as uncharacterized. Lineage: Eukaryota; Metazoa; Arthropoda; Arachnida; Ixodida; Ixodidae. The record is from RefSeq and is a predicted model, not a curated record. The transcript is spliced from 2 exons.
GUCAGCCUUAUUUGCACAGUGGCCAGUUUACAAAUCUGAGCAGCUGCAGCAGAGCUUGGAAAUGUGGCUGGUGAAAUGGUGCCAACUGGUGUGCACUGCCUUGUAAAUACAGCUAAUAAUUUUAAUGUACGUUUUAUGCGGAGCCGUGUUAUAACAACCCAUGUGUCUUAAGAGUGGAAACCCUGUGGGCCGUCCAGACUUGCUUCUUUGACAGGCGUAUGCAUUUAACCCUAGGACAUAGCAUGGCGAGGUCAAAAUAGACUUGCAUUGUUCAGUUGUGACUCAUGCAAUCCCCAGACCAUCAUUCUGACGGUAGCUCAUUGUUAACUGUGAACACUCGUCUGGCUAUGCUUAUACAUUGUUCAGCAUGGCAUCAAAAAGGUAGCCUUUCACCCAAAGGAUUGCUCAAUAGGUUGGAGUGAUUGCAAAGCAAACUUGGAGCAGGCAAAGAGGGUGUUAGUGCGCUUUCACUUCAGGCUUGUACAUUAUGUUUAAAGUUUGCCUAGAAGUUGGGCUUGAUAGCGAGCAAGGUCAAUAUCGCUGCCUCAUGGUGCUAGCUGUUUAAAUGCUUGUCUGCAUAAAAAUAUCACAUUCAGCUCUAAUGCAUUCUUGUUAAGACAUGUGCUCUAUCAGGCACACUUGGGACAUCUUCAACCAGUCAUUCCAGAGCGCUCUAGCAGUGCUACAAAUGUCGUGUAGGGUAACAACUAAGCUUUAUUGCAAGUGGGCUCCAAUGGUGAUAAUGAUCACUAUUAUUAUGAUACAGCUUACAUGAAUGUUGCAGCUCUACCAGAGUUCUCUUAACCAGUUGAAGAUGCUACUGGAACAUGUGAAGCUCCACUUAAGAUACUUGUUAUUAUUUUUGUGGAAGCGCGAUGUUCCAGUUGGGACAUAUUUUAAUGUGGUGCUUUCAGGGUGUGGGGACGAUCCUCUCUGUCUAUUGCCAGGAAACCUUUGUUUUAGUUCACGGAUCUUGCAUCUGCAUUCCAAUCCUGUUUUUUAAUUAGGCCACCUGGCUUAGCGUGCCAUACUUAAGUCAACCAGAGGUUUGAUGCAUCUUUGUUCGCACAUACAUUGUUUCUGGCCAGGCCUUGCAGUAGCUGUGUACAUAUGUCCUCAAUUAUCCGUUUUCCUGUUGCUUUCUUUUUAGCUCUCUAGCACAGAAAACAGUUGAUGUUACAUUCAGUGUUUCCUUUCUCACGCUAUCCUCUUGUGUCAUCCUGCUGCGCCAUAAGUACGCAAGCUUGUUAGUUGUGUACAGGACCGGUGUUGGGAGUUCUUGGAUAUCAAUGCCAUGCAAUGUGCAUCAGGUCCAGGGUAACAGCACUGUGUUGAUAGUAGCGUGAAGACUUGUGCAUCGCUGUCUGUCCAUGAACUGGAGGCAGACCAUGAGCUGUUGUAAAUACUAUGAAGGCUAUUUUUCCAGGCUUUUCUUUGUACUAAUGUGUUACUGUGUAAAUACUGUGCUAGAUACUUGAGCUAAUGGUUCGCUUGUAUGGUGCAUUCUUUUUACGCUGUUGUAUAGGGGAAGCCAUUAAUCCCGAGUCAAGGCAAGCUUUCAUUUAUGUGACAACCCUUUUCUGCAUUUUCUUUCUUUGAAGACCAUGCCGGGUUUUGAUGCACUUUUGUGCAUGCUUUGGGAACCGUAACAUUAAGCCAAACUGCAUUCGCAAUUCUGCCCAAACAGCUUCGUCAUCAAAAGUUGGCGAUGGAAAAACCUGGAAAAGGUUUUCUUCAACUCCAUCAUGGAUGCAAAACGAGGUCUAAUGAUUUAGUGUGCUGUACUAUAAUGACGAUUAAAUUCAUUUUCUUUUCUAAUAA